CUGGCUCAGGAUGAACGCUGGCGGCAUGCCUAAGACAUGCAAGUCGUUCGAAGAAGCCUAUUGAAGAUUGAGUGCUUGCACAAGAUUGGAUUUAGAUACUUCUUAGUGGCAGACGGGUGAGUAACACGUAGGUAAUCUACCUCGAAGACUGGGACAACGUUUGGAAACGAACGCUAAUACCGGAUAAUUCGUAAACGGAAAACUGUUUAUGCUAAAAGGUGCUUCGGCAUCACUUCGAGAUGAGCUUGCGGUGUAUUAGCUAGUUGGUGAGGUAAUGGCCCACCAAGGCAACGAUGCAUAGCCGGACUGAGAGGUCGAACGGCCACAUUGGGACUGAGACACGGCCCAGACUCCUACGGGAGGCAGCAGUGGGGAAUAUUGCACAAUGGAGGAAACUCUGAUGCAGCGACGCCGCGUGAACGAUGAAGGCCUUCGGGUCGUAAAGUUCUGUCCUUGGGGACGAUAAUGACGGUACCCAAGGAGGAAGCCCCGGCUAACUACGUGCCAGCAGCCGCGGUAAUACGUAGGGGGCGAGCGUUGUCCGGAAUUAUUGGGCGUAAAGGGUUCGCAGGCGGUUGUAUAAGUCAGGUGUGAAAGGCGCAAGCUUAACUUGUGUAAGCACUUGAAACUGUACAACUUGAGUUAAGGAGAGGAAAGUGGAAUUCCUAGUGUAGCGGUGAAAUGCGUAGAUAUUAGGAGGAACACCAGUGGCGAAGGCGACUUUCUGGACUUAUACUGACGCUGAGGAACGAAAGCGUGGGGAGCAAAAAGGAUUAGAUCCCCUGGUAGUCCACGCCGUAAACCAUGAAUGGUAGGUGUCGGGUGUCAAAAAUCGGUGCCGCAGCAAACACAAUAAGCACUCCGCCUGGGGAGUACGUACGCAAGUAUGAAACUCAAAAGAAAUGACGGGGGCCCGCACAAGCAGCGGAGCAUGUGGUUUUAUUUUGAAGCAACGCGAAGAACCUUUCCAGGGCGUGACAUGCCCCUGACCGGUAUAGAGAUAUGCCUUUACCUUCGGGUACAGGGGACACAGGUGGUGCAUGGUUGUCGUCAGCUCGUGUCGUGAGAUGUUGGGUUAAGUCCCGCAACGAGCGCAACCCUUGCUUCUAGUUGCCAUCAUUAAGUUGGGCACUCUAGAGGGACGGCCGAUGAUAAAUCGGAGGAAGGUGGGGAGGACGUCAAAUCAUCAUGCCCUUUAUGUCUUGGGGUACACACGUGCUACAAUGGUCGGUACAACGAGGAGGGACACAGCGAUGUGAAGCAAAUCUCUAAAAGCCGAUCCCAGUUCGGAUUGCAGGCUGCAACUCGCCUGCACGAAGUCGGAGUUGCUAGUAAUCGCGAAUCAGAAUGUCGCGGUGAAUGAGUUCCCGGGUCUUGCACACACCGCCCGUCA
RNAcentral lists this ribosomal RNA (1393 nucleotides) under uncultured bacterium. Its description in RNAcentral is "16S ribosomal RNA". It matches the Rfam family "Bacterial small subunit ribosomal RNA". The record is from RNAcentral.